Molecule: non-coding RNA, 205 nt
Organism: Paramuricea clavata
Lineage: Eukaryota; Metazoa; Cnidaria; Anthozoa; Malacalcyonacea; Plexauridae
Source: the annotation of a GenBank genome assembly
CGCAGCGUGUUGCGCACAUUUGAUAAGAAAAAAAAUUGACUUUAUUAGACUGAAAUAAGCAAGAUUUCCCGUUAAAUACAUGAUAUAUACCGAGGCGGCUUUGCAUUAGCCUACGGUGUAGACUCCAGCAGAAACGUGUUUCUUUUCACGAAACGUGUUUCUGCUGGCGGGGGUCUACACCGUAGGCUAGCUUUGCAUGUGCUCU